This 226-nucleotide ribosomal RNA is filed under the name uncultured bacterium. Its description in RNAcentral is "partial 16S ribosomal RNA". It matches the Rfam family "Bacterial small subunit ribosomal RNA", at positions 109 to 334 of the family's 1533-position model. The record is from RNAcentral.
CGGAACACGUACACAACCUACCUCUGAGUGGGGGAUAGCCCAGAGAAAUUUGGAUUAAUACCCCGUAACAUUAUUUUAUGGCAUCAUGAAGUAAUUAAAGCUACGGCGCUUGGAGAUGGGUGUGCGUCUGAUUAGGUAGUUGGUGUGGGUAACGGCCCACCAAGCCAGCGAUCAGUAACUGGUGUGAGAGCACGACCAGUCACACGGGCACUGAGACACGGGCCCG